Long non-coding RNA from Hipposideros armiger (great roundleaf bat), 993 nucleotides. RefSeq lists it as uncharacterized. NCBI's taxonomy places the organism in Eukaryota, Metazoa, Chordata, Mammalia, Chiroptera, Hipposideridae. The record is from RefSeq and is a predicted model, not a curated record. The transcript is spliced from 3 exons.
GAGCCCAGGCCCCCAGCAGCUAUAGCAGGUGCCCCAAUUUGGCAGCACAGACAGGCCAACCUGGCACCAGCCUGCUAAUGCUGCUGGGAGAGGCCUCGAGGGGGCUGAAGCUGGUUCAAUGGGCAGCUCUUUGGAGAUGCAGUGGCUUGAGGUGAUUCACUGUGACAGGCUGUUGACAGCGCAGCUCCCAGGGUUGCUUGUGGUCACAUGCGGAGCUGCCCCAGCCGCCUGCCUCUGAGGGAACAAAAGAGGGGCAGCAGAUGGCAGCCGUCCACGUGGAGAUCCUGUGCUGCCUCUACCCUUAUGGCCUCGGAGCUCUUUUCUGGAGGGCAAUGGGUCCUAGCCACAGUGCCCAUUGCUUACAACCCCAAAAGUCAUGUGGGCUAAGAUCCUGCUACGAGCCCUCGAUCUAACUGGAAAGAGGAGCACAAGGACCUCCCUUCAUCCUUCCCUCUCUCCUUGUCUCACUUCCUCCCUUCAUCCAGUUUUGUCGAGUGCCUACCAUUGUGCCAAGUACUGUGCUUGGUACUGGAACAUGGGGUUGUUUGGAACAAAACAGUCAUGGUCCUCUCCUCAUGGAGUUUAUAGUCUAGUGAAGGAGACACACGUUAAACAGGGACUGCUGCUGUGAGGGUGUGAGGAGAGCAGAAUGUGACCAAGGAGGAGGACCACUACCUGUUCUGAGUGAACUUGUGGCGGAAAAGAAGAUGAGUCUGGACCUUCGGGGGCUCCCAUGAGGCAGAAUGGAGUCACACAGAAGGAAGCGGAGUGACAGAUGGAGAGAGUGAGACCAAGUCCCGACACCAUCAUUGGAGUCGCUGAAUCAGACAUACGCCUGGAUGUUUUGGGUGCCUGAGAUGAUGAGUUUGAAUUGAGUUUCCUGGAACUUGCAAACAAGAGUCCUGAGACUGAUAUAGUUGCAGUGACAAGCUUAAACAACUGACUUGCUGUGUGUGUGUGUGUGUGUGUGUGUGUGUGUGUGUGUGUGAAUCU